RNAcentral lists this long non-coding RNA (472 nucleotides) under Cercocebus atys (sooty mangabey). RNAcentral describes it as "lncRNA (ENSCATG00000045477.1)". The record is from RNAcentral. Lineage: Eukaryota; Metazoa; Chordata; Mammalia; Primates; Cercopithecidae.
CUAUGACUGGGUAGAGAAGUCAGGCGACCUCUAACUUGCAGGCUCAGUCAUCUUCAGUUCAACAAGGAGAGAGUAGGAAGCCACAUACUGGCCUCGGAGGUUCAAUUCAGUAGGGAAUUGAAGUUUGGACACUGUAUGAGGCUGUGCUCUGUGAAGGAGAAGAGUUGCUAAAUAGAAGAGAAACUUGUCAGUCAGAGCCCUACACAUCUCUGCUCUGGGAUUGUUCCCUGAGAGAGAGAGAAACAUGAGAAAGAGAAGCCAGUUCUCUCAUUGGGUGGAAAAAAAAAAAAGAUCACCAGAAACCCAGAUGGAAGAAGCCCAGAGCUGGCGAAGCUGGAUGGAUGUCAGUUAUGCCCGCUGAUUGACUGAGCUGCGAUCCCGUCAUCGUGACCACUGCACCUCUCCAUCUGCUAACCUCAGAGUAGUGAGGCCCAGGAGUCAUGUCUGGCCUGGUGCGGGAAAAAUGGACAAG